This 450-nucleotide ribosomal RNA is filed under the name uncultured bacterium. RNAcentral's name for it is "partial 16S ribosomal RNA". It matches the Rfam family "Bacterial small subunit ribosomal RNA", at positions 354 to 796 of the family's 1533-position model. The record is from RNAcentral.
GUGGGGAAUCUUCCGCAAUGGACGAAAGUCUGACGGAGCAACGCCGCGUGAGUGAAGAAGGUUUUCGGAUCGUAAAGCUCUUUCGUUAGGGACGAACGUGCUCUUUGUGAAUAAUGAGGAGUAAUGACGGUACCUAAAUAAGAAGCCACGGCUAACUACGUGCCAGCAGCCGCGGUAAUACGUAGGUGGCAAGCGUUGUCCGGAAUUAUUGGGCGUAAAGCGCGCGGAGGCGGGAGCACAAGUCUGGCUUUAAAGUGCGAGGCUCAACCUCGUGAGGGGACAGAAACUGGUAUUCUUGAGUGUCGGAGAGGAAAGUGGAAUUCCAAGUGUAGCGGUGAAAUGCGUAGAGAUUUGGAAGAACACCAGUGGCGAAGGCGACUUUCUGGACGAUGUCUGACGCUGAGGCGCGAAAGCUAGGGGAGCGAACGGGAUUAGAAACCCGUGUAGUCC